ACGCUCGACACCUACGGGGCAGCAGUGGGGAAUAUUGGGCAAUGGGCGCAAGCCUGACCCAGCAACGCCGCGUGAAGGAAGAAGGCUUUCGGGUUGUAAACUUCUUUUGUCAGGGAACAGUAGAAGAGGGUACCUGACGAAUAAGCUCCGGCUAACUACGUGCCAGUAGCCGCGGUAAUCUGAGCGGGCUGGCAAGGC
RNAcentral lists this ribosomal RNA (198 nucleotides) under uncultured bacterium. RNAcentral's name for it is "partial 16S ribosomal RNA". It matches the Rfam family "Bacterial small subunit ribosomal RNA", at positions 326 to 539 of the family's 1533-position model. The record is from RNAcentral.